Molecule: ribosomal RNA, 425 nt
Filed under: uncultured bacterium
Lineage: Bacteria
Description: partial 16S ribosomal RNA
Rfam family: Bacterial small subunit ribosomal RNA
Source: RNAcentral
GUUAGGAAUAUUGGACAAUGGGCGCAAGCCUGAUCCAGCCAUGCCGCGUGAGUGAUGAAGGCCUUCGGGUUGUAAAGCUCUUUAGCCGAUGAUUAUAAUGACUGUAGUCGGAAAAUAAGCCCCGGCUAACUUCGUGCCAGCAGCCGCGGUAAUACGAAGGGGGCGAGCGUUAUUCGGAAUCACUGGGCGUAAAGCGUGCGUAGGCGGCUUUGCAAGUUGGGAGUGAAAGCCCAGGGCUCAACCCUGGAAUUGCUCUCAAAACUGCAAGGCUCGAAUUCGGGAGAGGAUAGCGGAAUUGUCAGUGUAGCAGUGAAAUGCGUAGAUAAUGACAGGAACACCAGUGGCGUAAGCGGCUAUCUGGACCGAUAUUGACGCUGAGGCACGAAAGCGUGGGGAUCAAACAGGAUUAGAUACCCGAGUAGUCC